AUCCUUACAUGGUAGAAGAGAUACUAUAAUCCAAAAGAUGGUUUUUCCAGGGAGAGGUUUAUCCAUUAUACUCUAGAAGUGCUAUCCCUUGUGAUUUCUCAAACACAAGAAACUCAGUCAUCUAAUUUGUGAUAGUUGGGAACUGUAUUGGCACAGUCCCCUU
Small nuclear RNA from Nannospalax galili (Upper Galilee mountains blind mole rat), 163 nucleotides. Its record names the gene U1. It matches the Rfam family "U1 spliceosomal RNA". From Rfam's summary of the family: U1 is a small nuclear RNA (snRNA) component of the spliceosome (involved in pre-mRNA splicing). Its 5' end forms complementary base pairs with the 5' splice junction, thus defining the 5' donor site of an intron. The record is from Ensembl. Lineage: Eukaryota; Metazoa; Chordata; Mammalia; Rodentia; Spalacidae.